AAACACUUUUAUUAAUUACUCACACAUAUCGGCACGUCUUCCGGGGUGCCCAGCGACUUUUCGCGAAGUUGUAACGCACAGGCGUUAAUCUGGGUCGGUAAGAUGGGGUAUGUGGACGCCUAAC
This 124-nucleotide small RNA is filed under the name Photobacterium ganghwense. RNAcentral describes it as "t44 RNA". It matches the Rfam family "t44 RNA". From Rfam's summary of the family: This family consists of a number of bacterial RNA genes of between 135 and 170 bases in length. The record is from Rfam by way of RNAcentral. Lineage: Bacteria; Pseudomonadati; Pseudomonadota; Gammaproteobacteria; Vibrionales; Vibrionaceae.